GUUGUAGCUUAAUGGUAGAGUGCUUGCCUAGCACAUAUGAGGCACUGGGUUCAAUCCUCAGCACUACA
Molecule: transfer RNA, 68 nt
Filed under: Marmota monax (woodchuck)
Lineage: Eukaryota; Metazoa; Chordata; Mammalia; Rodentia; Sciuridae
Description: tRNA.Ala
Source: RNAcentral